Long non-coding RNA from Anarrhichthys ocellatus (wolf-eel), 1862 nucleotides. RefSeq lists it as uncharacterized. The record is from RefSeq and is a predicted model, not a curated record. Lineage: Eukaryota; Metazoa; Chordata; Actinopteri; Perciformes; Anarhichadidae. The transcript is spliced from 2 exons.
GCAGCUGCAGCAGCAGCAGCCGCAGCUGCAGCAGCUGCAGCAGCAGAGGGGACCAAGCGCUGGUCAGUGCUAAUGUAAACUUUAAAAGACCGCUCAAACCGUACUGGUCCACACGGCUGGUUUGGGUACAAAAAAAUGAUAUAGAUAUAUUUGUAUUUUUUUUUUUUUAUAGCUUAGUUCAGCAUAUUUUGAGAAUAAAGGUAGCUGUUGUAAAAUGAUUUAGUUUGAAAUCCACCGUGUUUGCUGUUGAGGCCAAGGGCUAGUUGGCGUCAGGUUGACUGGCUUGUGUUGCAGCUGUAAUAUCACUGUCUGGGUAAUGCAGGCUAAACUAAAUAGACAGGAAAUAUCUCCUCCUCAGAUGAGAGUCCAGAGGAGGAGGAGGAGGAUGGUGGAGAAAUUGUGAUUGACGGCUCUGAUGACAGUGAGCAGGAGGACGACGAGGCCUGAGAAGACGUGAUGAAGAGGUUUAUGUCAAUGAAGAAGGCAAGUCAUCAAGGGACCAGAGACCAGGAAGAUGAAGAGGAUGCUGAGGUUGAUGAACAGUACCAGAGCAAUGUCAUUUUUAUGCACAGAAUAUCCGUUUUUGUUGUUUUUAUACCUAAAAUACAUAGCAGCAUUUUAAAUCAGGGUUAACUGUAAUAAUAAAGCCACGGCAGCAUGGUUUCCCCUCUAUUUUAUACAGUCACCAUCAUAAUGUUUUUUUCUAAACAGGUUCUUAGGCAUAUUAUGCCAAUAGUGUUCUUCUAUUUAACAAGGAGCAUCAUGCAACAGCCUGCACAUACAUAGGCGACAUCUUGAUUGCCACUUCUUGUCGGCAUUACAUUUUGCAUUUGCAAAAUCUUCAAGCGAGCGAUGCGGAAGCCUCCAGUGGCGUUGUUUAGUGGUCAUUUCAAGGCAAAGUUUUGGCUGUUUUUAGAAUUGACGUGACGAGCUAAAUUGAUACUAAUGGCAGUACUUUUUAGAUGCACCGAGUACUGAACCAAAAUUUGUUCUCAGGGAUGAUCAUGAUUUUAUUGAAAGAACCGUAACUGAUUUUAGACAUUUACACUCUCUGGGUAUUGUUGGCUGUGCAUAAGGAAACGUGUACUCUACUGUAGUAAAUAGGAACCAAUAUUGUUUUUAGUAUGCUGCCAGUGUUUCUCCUUCAUCUCUAUGUUCAGUCGUGUUUCACACCAAACCUCCACCCCCUGUUAACAACCUGUAAACCAUCGAUGAAGUUUAAAAUCAUGAUGUAGUUUGACCAGUGUUUCUGUGGUUUCCUACAUUUUGUAACACUCCUACAAUAAAUAGCUGACUUUUGUAUCAUUGUUUUCCUCUUUAGAAUUUAACUUAAUUUGAGUUUCCUUCUUAAAACCUUUAAGAUUUGUUUUCAUGUAAUGUGUUUUACGAUUUGUGUUAUCUUCUUUUUAAAAAGAUGGUAUUUAUUACGUUGUUUUUCUACACAUCCACAUUAUGGCAUGCCUGUGAGCAUGAAAUGUAAGACCAUACGAUUACAUUACUUACAAGGCUUUUAAUGUGCACAGUGUCAGUAAAUGUCUAAUUCACAGCAACAUUAUGGGGUGCACUGUAAAAAAAAAAACUAGUAUUUGUAUUUGCUUACUUUUCUUAGCAAUGACCUGUAAAUAAUAUUUCAGCAUUGUCUUUUGGAUAAGACGAGUACACGUGUUUAAUCCAUGGAUAAACUUAUCAAAUAAUCUGAAGUUUUUUCAUAAACAUGAUCAGAAAGUUAUAUUUUGUGUGCUGUGUUUUAUAGAACACUAGUUUAAAUAUACCUACCUGAUUGUUGCUUUGGUUUAUUUUGUUUGCUUGAAGAUAAAUGUCCACCUUUUGACUCAGACCUAAUAAAAUAGGCAGUUGUUUCA